UUUGGAUACGAGUUCUUCUGGCUUCAUUCUUACAAGCCUUGACAAAGGAAGGUCUUCCCUAAGAACACGAUGGAAAAGUCCCUAGAGAGAGAGGAGUGAUUCGAGGUGCUGCAAAGAUUCAACAAGAGACAUGAUCCAGUAACUGACCAUGCCAGCUGUGAUGGGUGGAAGAGUUGUGAGGAAUUUACAGCAGCCACGGAGUGACAACACACUAUGGGCUUCCCUGCUUAUGCAUACAAAGCAGGGAAGGAUAGCCGCUUUUCAGGACGGUUUUCUUCCUCUGAAUCAUCCAAGAUGGCACCAAUUGCAAAUGGGACAUUGAAUUGGCAAGCCCUGGUGCUCAAGCUCUAUGGAAACUUAUCCUGGCAAGGUCUAGCAUGCCUUCCUUGGACAUCUAGAAUCUCAUCAGUUGGCCUGUGGGACAAGAAAAAUCUUCACACUCUCCCAAACCCAACCCAGCGAAGAAAGAGUUGACGAGGUAGACACAUGACAGCCCCAAAUGACUGAAUUACACCUGCUACCUGAGCUGGGUCACUGCUCUCACACAAGAGAUUUUCUUCAGUGACUGUGAUGCACUGUGCUAGACUGUAUUGUUGGAGACAUGUCAUGGACCACUUGAAUGAAGCCUGCAGACCAGUUUGGGAACCUCUGCUCUAAAGAGCUGGUCUCUUCUGUGCGGAGAGAGGUUUGAUACCGGCCUGUGUAACCAGCAGAACCUUAAUCACUAAGUAUUGCAAUAAUACAGUCAUCAUAACACAGGAGUAGAGAAAUAGUCAAGUCUACUUAGUCUACUUGACUAAGAAGGGUAACGUUAAGUUCUGACACAGUGACAACCUCUACGAGCAAGGCCAGUGGGGAUGCGGAAUCUACUUUUUGCCUUCUGGGAGGAUUCCUCCCACGUAAAGACUACUCAGGAACAACAGUGGCUUCAAGUUACAAGAAAAGAGAUUCUG
Non-coding RNA from Podarcis muralis (Common wall lizard), 953 nucleotides. Lineage: Eukaryota; Metazoa; Chordata; Lepidosauria; Squamata; Lacertidae. The record is from RefSeq and is a predicted model, not a curated record.